Molecule: ribosomal RNA, 449 nt
Filed under: uncultured bacterium
Lineage: Bacteria
Description: bacterial SSU rRNA
Rfam family: Bacterial small subunit ribosomal RNA
Source: RNAcentral
ACCCAGACUCUACGGGAGGCAGCAGUCGAGAAUCAUUCACAAUGGGGGAAACCCUGAUGCAGCGACGCCGCGUGGGCGAAGAAGUAUUUCGGUAUGUAAAGCCCUAUCAGCAGGGAAGAAGAAAUGACGGUACCUGAGUAAGAAGCACCGGCUAAAUACGUGCCAGCAGCCGCGGUAAUACGUAUGGUGCAAGCGUUAUCCGGAUUUACUGGGUGUAAAGGGAGCGUAGACGGCGAUGCAAGCCAGAUGUGAAAGCCCGGGGCUCAACCCCGGGACUGCAUUUGGAACUGUGUGGCUGGAGUGUCGGAGAGGCAGGCGGAAUUCCUAGUGUAGCGGUGAAAUGCGUAGAUAUUAGGAGGAACACCAGUGGCGAAGGCGGCCUGCUGGACGAUGACUGACGUUGAGGCUCGAAAGCGUGGGGAGCAAACAGGAUUAGAUACCCUGGUAGA